RNAcentral lists this ribosomal RNA (254 nucleotides) under uncultured bacterium. RNAcentral describes it as "partial 16S ribosomal RNA". It matches the Rfam family "Bacterial small subunit ribosomal RNA", at positions 524 to 776 of the family's 1533-position model. The record is from RNAcentral.
GACGAACCGUGCGAACGUUAUUCGGAAUCACUGGGCUUAAAGCGCGUGUAGGCGGGAAGGCACGUCUGUCGCUGAAAUCCCCAGGCUUAACCUGGGAACUGCGUCGGAUACUGGAUGGCUUGAAUUCGGGAGAGGGAUGCAGAAUUCCAGGUGUAGCGGUGAAAUGCGUAGAUAUCUGGAGGAAUACCGGUGGCGAAGGCGGCAUCCUGGACCGACAUUGACGCUGAUGAGCGAAAGCUAGGGGAGCAAACGGG